This is an RNA transcript of Brienomyrus brachyistius, 3903 nucleotides long. It is a transcript of the gene named P2X purinoceptor 5-like, with no coding region annotated. The record is from RefSeq and is a predicted model, not a curated record. The transcript has 11 exons. NCBI's taxonomy places the organism in Eukaryota, Metazoa, Chordata, Actinopteri, Osteoglossiformes, Mormyridae.
CAUUUACAAGUUUGUACAGAAUUUUAUGAUCUACAAAACAAGAAUCAAGUUUAAUUACAGUUGAUAUGAUAACUAAACACAGUUAAUUGCAGUUUUAACCGCAUUUAACAGUAAUAUGUAUAAUAUUAUAACAGGAGCGCACCACUUCUCCUGUAGGUUUAAACACUUCCCCACGCAGUUUUACUUAGCGAUAGGCGGCCGUUAACAGGAAUGGCUGGGACCGGCUGGCGGGGGCAUUUCCUCUCAGUAUUUGAUUAUAAAACGGAAAAAUACGUAAUUGCAAAAAACAAGAAAGUCGGCGUCCUGUAUAGAUUUGUGCAGCUAGCAAUCCUGGCGUAUAUCGUCUGGUGGGUCUUCCUGACAAAGAAAGGCUACCAGGAAGUGGAGGAAUCUAUCCAGAGCUCAGUGAUCACUAAACUUAAGGGUGUGAUACUCACCAAUACCACAGAAACGGGAGUACAUAUGUGGGGGCCAGAAGAUUACGUCAUUCCCCCCCAGGGGGAGAAGGUCUUUUUCAUCAUUACAAACUUUAUUGAGACACCAAAACAGGUGCUUGGAUACUGUGCUGAGAGUUCCAGGGUCCCAGAUGGCCGCUGUACUGAGAAUAUAGACUGUGCAGAAGGAGAGAUGGUGGUGGCUGGGCAUGGAAUUAAGAGUGGCCGGUGCCUGAAGAAGGACAGAAACUCCACUGGCACAUGUGAGAUAUAUAGUUGGUGUCCAGUUGAGAGGGGCCGUCAACCACGAGAACCAGUGUUGGGACGAGCUGAAAACUUCACCAUCUAUAUAAAAAAUUUCAUCCAGUUUCCUAAGUUUGGAUUUUCAAAAUCAAAUGUACUGGAAACUAAUGAUGACCAGUACCUAAAGAAAUGUUCCUAUGACAAAAUCCAGCACCCAUAUUGCCCAAUUUUCCGCCUAGGGGACAUAGUUAGUUGGGCAGGACACAAUUUCCAGAAAAUGGCUGUUAUGGGUGGGUCGAUUGGCAUUAUGAUUGAGUGGAACUGUGACCUGGACCGGGAUUACUCCCAGUGUAACCCCUACUAUAGCUUUGCUCGGUUGGAUGUCAUCUCUGCCUCCAGCUCAGUCUCAUCUGGCUACAAUUUCAGAUUUGCUAAGUAUUUCAAAAAUCCAGCUGGGAAGACGUACCGAACACUGGUUAAAGUGUAUGGAAUCCGCUUUGACAUCUUGGUUUAUGGAAAGGCUGGAAAGUUUAACAUCAUCCCUACAAUAAUUAAUAUUGGCUCAGGUCUUGCUUUAAUGGGAGCUGUAAGUAUUAAUAUUCCAUCCAUCCAUCCAUCCAUCCAUCCAUCAUCUUCCUCUUAAUCCGGGGUCGGGUCGCGGGGGCAGCAGUCUCAGCAGGGAAGCCCAGACUUCCCUCUCCCCGGCCACUUCAUCCAGCUCUUCUGGGGGGAUCCCGAGGCGUUCCCAGGCCAGCCGGGAGACAUAGUCUCUCCAGCGUGUCCUGGGUCUUCCCCGGGGUCUCCUCCCAGUGGGACAUGCCCGGAAGACCUCACCAGGGAGGCGUCCCGGAGGCAUCCUAAUCAGAUGCCCGAGCCACCUCAUCUGGCUCCUCUCGAUGCGGAGGAGCAGCGGCUCUACUCUGAGUCCCUCCCGAAUGACUGAGCUCCUCACCCUAUCUCUAAGGGAGAGCCCAGCCACCCUGCGGAGGAAACUCAUUUCGCACCCGCAAUCUCGUUCUUUCGGUCACUACCCAUAGCUCAUGACCAUAGGUGAGGGUAGGAACGUAGAUUGACUGGUAAAUCGAGAGCUUUGCCUUUUGGCUCAGCUCUCUCUUCACCAUGACAGACCGAUGUAGCGCCCGCAUGACUGCUGACGCCGCACUGAUCCGCCUGUCGACCUCCCGUUCCAUCGUUCCCCCACUCGUGCACAAGAUCCCGAGAUACUUAAACUCCUCCACUUGGGGGAGGACCCCAUCCCCAACCCGGAGAGAGCAUUCUACCCUUUUCCGGCUGAGAACCAUGGUCUCAGAUUUGGAGGUGCUGAUUCUCAUCCCAGCCGCUUCACACUCUGCUGCGAACUGCUCCAGUGAGAGCCGAAGGUCACGGUCCGAUGAGGCCAACAAAACCACAUCAUCUGCAAAAAGCAGAGACCGAGUCCUGAGGUCACCAAACUGGACACCCUCAACGCCCUGGCUGUGCCUAGAAAUUCUGUCCAUUAAAGCUAUAAACAGAAUCAGUGACAAAGGGCAUCCCUGACCGAGUCCAACCCUCACUGGGAACAAGUCCGACUUAUUGCCGCCCAUGCGGACCAGGCUCUGGCACCGGCCAUACAGGGACUGAACCGCCCUUAAAAGGAAGCCCAGUACCCCAUACUCCCGGAGCACUCCCCACAGGACUUCCCGAGGGACACAGUCGAAUGCCCUCUCGAAGUCCACAAAACACAUGUAGACUGGUCAGGCAAACUCCCAUGAACCCUCCAAAACCCUGCUGAGAGUAUAGAGCUGGUCCACUGUUCCACGGCCAGGGCGAAAACCACACUGCUCCUCCUGAAUCCGAGGUUCGACAAUCCGGCGGACCCUCCUCUCCAGGACCCCCGAAUAGACCUUACCAGGGAGGCUGAGGAGUGUGAUCCUCCUGUAGUUGGAGCACACCCUCCGGUCCCCCUUCUUAAAGAGGGGGACCACCACCCCGGUCUGCCAGGCCAGAGGCACUGCCCCCGAUGUCCACGCGAUGCCGGAGAUGCGUAUCAGCCAGGACAGCCCCACAGCAUCCAGAGGCUUGAGGAACUCCGGGCGAAUCGCAUCCAUCCCCAGGGCCCGGCCACCGAGGAGCUGUUUGACCACCUCAGCGACCUCCGCCCCAGAAAUAGGCGAGUCCACCCCCAAGUCCCCACACUCUGCUUCCAUAUCGGAAGGCGUGUCGGUGGGAUUGAGGAGGUCUUCGAAGUAUUCCUUCCACCGACCCAAAAGUUGAGGUCAGCAGCGCACCAUCCCCACCAUAAAUAGUGUUGAUGCUGCACCGCUUUCCCGCCCGGAGCCGCCGGAUGGUGGACCAGAAUCUCCUCGAAGCUGUCCAGAAGUCGUUCUCCAUGGCCUCGCCAAACUCCUCCCACACCCGAGUUUUUGCCUCAGCAACCGCCAAAGCCACAUCCCGCUUGGCCUGCCGGUAGCUGUCAGCUGCGUCUGGAGUCCCACAGGCCAAAAAGGCCAGAUAGGACUCCUUCUUCAGCUUGACGGCAUCCCUUACCACCGGUGUCCACCAGCGGGUUCGGGGAUUGCCGCCGCGACAGGCACCGACCACCUUACGGCCGCAGCUCCAGUCAGCUGCCUCCACAAUGGAGGCGCGGAACAUGGCCCAUUCGGACUCAAUGUCCCCCGCCUCCCCCGGGAUAUGGGAGAAGUUCUGCCGGAGGUAGCAGUUGAAACUCUCCCUGACAGGGGAUUCCGCCAGAUGUUCCCAGCAGACCCUCACUAUACGCUUGGGCCUGCCAGGCCUGGCCGGCUUCCUCGCCCACCAGCGGAGCCAACCCACCACCAGGUAGUGAUCGGUUGACAGCUCCGCCCCUCUCUUCACCCGAGUGUCCAAGACAUGCAGCCGCAAGUCCGACGACACGACUACAAAGUCGAUCAUCGAACUGCGGCCUAGGGUGUCCUGGUGCCAAGUGCACAUAUGGACACCCUUAUGCUUGAACAUUGUGUUCAUUAUGGACAAUCCAUGACGAGCACAGAAGUCCAAUAACAAAACACCGCUCGGUUCAGAUCGGGGGGGCUGUUCCUCCCAAUCACUCCCCUCCAGGUCUCACUGUCAUUGCCCACGGGAGCAUUGAAGUCCCCCAGUAAAACAAGAGAGUCCCCAGGAGGAGCGCUCUCCAACACCCCUUCCAAGGACUCCAAAAAGGGGUGCCUUCUUCUGUGACCUGAUACUUUUGUACCUGAUCAAACAGAGC